AGCAAUUUACAUUUAAUGUAAUGUACUCAUAUAGAAGACUUAUGACGACCAGGGGAGUGACUUUGGUGAGGUAUGACUAUCGAAAGCCAUGACACCUACCAAGAGUGAAUGCAAAUGGAUGCCUUACUCUCAGUCCCAACUAUCUACAGAUCUGAAAACAUGCAAUUUAAAAAAGUGAGUAUAAACUCAAUGAGUGAACAUAAGAAGGGAACAAGUAACGAUAAGGAAUGUUUUAGAAAACAUGAUGCACUUACGAUAAAACCAUGCAAUUUAGUAUAAGUUUUUGUUAAAACCCCUCAUUCCAAACUUUGAAUGUUUAAUCCUUCAAUGUUGCAAGACAUUAUUUUUGGGUCAUUAGAAAGAUAAGAGGAUAGGCUACAACUUUUGUGUUUAUUACUUUGCCCAAGUCUGAUCGGAAGGUGAUCAAAAUCUUUGUCAAAGUGAAAGCACUGCAUUAGAAUCUUGGAACCACCAGAGAGUUUCUCGCUGCAGUGAGAACCAGGCCAGUGUAAC
RNAcentral lists this long non-coding RNA (513 nucleotides) under Theobroma cacao (cacao). RNAcentral describes it as "long non-coding RNA (TCAC_LNC005973)". Lineage: Eukaryota; Viridiplantae; Streptophyta; Magnoliopsida; Malvales; Malvaceae. The record is from RNAcentral.